GAUGAACGCUGGCGGCGUGCCUAACACAUGCAAGUCGAGCGAACAGACGAUGAGCUCGCUCCUUUGACGUUAGCGGCGGACGGGCGAGUAACACGUGCAUAACCUUCUUCUAAUACUGGGAUGACUUCGGGAAACCGGUGCUAAUACUGGAUAAUAUAUUCAACCGCAUGGUGCAAUAGAGCUUGACGGCUUUGCUGACACUAAUAGAUGGUUCCGCGCCGCAUUAGCUAGUUGGUAAGGUAACGGCUUACCAAGGCGACGAUGCGUAGCCGACCUGAGAGGAUGAUCAGCCACACUGGAACUGAGACACGGUCCAGACUCCUACGGGAGGCAGCAGUAGGGAAUCUUGGACAAUGGGCGAAAGCCUGACCGAGCAACACCGCGUGAGUGAUGAAGGUCUUCGGAUCGUAAAACUCUGUUAUUAGGGAAGAACAAAUGUGUAAGAAUCUAUGCACGUCUUGACGGUACCUAAUCAGAAAGCCACGGCUAACUACGUG
RNAcentral lists this ribosomal RNA (497 nucleotides) under uncultured bacterium. RNAcentral describes it as "partial 16S ribosomal RNA". It matches the Rfam family "Bacterial small subunit ribosomal RNA", at positions 28 to 507 of the family's 1533-position model. The record is from RNAcentral.